This is a long non-coding RNA of Drosophila biarmipes, 509 nucleotides long. RefSeq lists it as uncharacterized. NCBI's taxonomy places the organism in Eukaryota, Metazoa, Arthropoda, Insecta, Diptera, Drosophilidae. The transcript has 2 exons. The record is from RefSeq and is a predicted model, not a curated record.
CACACAGCUGUGACAUCUCUCUGUAUUUGUCGGUGUAUUUCCCAGGCACUCGCAAUCGCAAUCGCCUGACCCGGCCAGCCCCUUGAGCCGACUGACCCGGCUAAUUAUGCACGCAUGCUGCCCAGUCGGUUGCUUUUACUACUCCGCAGCCAACACCACGGCCACUUAAUUGACGGUUGAGUGCUGCGGAAAGAGCCGAAACAAAAGUUAAUUCAAUCAUAAAAGCGGGCCAUAAACUAUGAGACCGAAAACGGAAAAAAAUGUAUAAAAAUGAAAAGAAAAAUAUCCCCCACGCUUACCCAUAAUUCUGCAUAAAGUAAAUUGGGAAAUGUAUGAUAAAUGACAGGGCUGCGGAUCUCAACAACAAUGUGCAACAACAACGAGUGGCUGAGUGGAAGGAAAGAAAAAUUGGUCGGUGGGAAAAACCUUGUGAAAUAUUAAUGCGCCGGCAUAUAAAUAAAAUAAGUAGUAAUUGUGGCUAGUGGAGGUUCCACUCAGCCGUUUCUGAA